Molecule: ribosomal RNA, 566 nt
Filed under: uncultured fungus
Lineage: Eukaryota; Fungi
Description: eukaryotic LSU rRNA
Rfam family: 5.8S ribosomal RNA (bases 223-376)
Source: RNAcentral
AAGUCGUAACAAGGUUUCCGUAGGUGAACCUGCGGAAGGAUCAUUAAAAAAAGAGAAACGUCCCGUUUUUUUUCAUAAGAAUGGGUUCUAUUCCCUUAAACCGUGUCUACAUACCUUUGUUGCUUUGGCAGGCCGCCUUCGGGCGUCGGCUCCGGCUGAUAGUGCCUGCCAGAGGACCCAAACUCUAUGUUUAGUGAUGUCUGAGUACUAUAUAAUAUUUAAAACUUUCAACAACGGAUCUCUUGGUUCUGGCAUCGAUGAAGAACGCAGCGAAAUGCGAUAAGUAAUGUGAAUUGCAGAAUUCAGUGAAUCAUCGAAUCUUUGAACGCACAUUGCGCCCCUUGGUAUUCCGAGGGGCAUGCCUGUUCGAGCGUCAUUAUAACCACUCAAGCCUGGCUUGGUAUUGGGGUUUUCGCGUGUUCGCGGCCCUUAAAAUCAGUGGCGGUGCCGUCUGGCUCUAAGCGUAGUAAUUUCUCUCGCUAUAGGGUUCCGGUGGUUACUUGCCAAAACCCCCCAUUUUUUUCUAGGUUGACCUCGGAUCAGGUAGGGAUACCCGCUGAACUUAA